RNAcentral lists this long non-coding RNA (1114 nucleotides) under Callithrix jacchus (white-tufted-ear marmoset). RNAcentral's name for it is "lncRNA (ENSCJAG00000083332.1)". Lineage: Eukaryota; Metazoa; Chordata; Mammalia; Primates; Cebidae. The record is from RNAcentral.
UGAAUGAACAGAUGCAUGAAUGGAUGGACUAAAAAAUGGCUUCUCCCAUAUUUCUCCUGCAAGGUAAUUGCUUGGGAUUCUUAGAAAUUUAAAGCCAAAAGAGACCUCAAAAUUCAUCUACAGACACAGCCUCAGAUCCAGCAAUGCCAUCAUUUACUGAACAGGCCUGGAUUCCAAGGCAACAUGGGAAAUACUCUUUCAAGCAGACCCCCUUAUGGGAAGUGCAAUAGUACACAGCCUCGACCACCACCCAAGAUCUUGAGUGAAAGUAGGAAGCAAGCAGCUCAUUUCCGAGCAAAUGCAGAAGCGAUUGUUAAACAGCAAUCAUUAAACAAGUCGCCAGAUGAUCCCAGAGCAAACCUGCCUCCUACAGCAGAAACCGGGGUCAGAGGCAGGCCCGGCCAGUACUCACAAGGUAGGAGCCUUGUCUCUGAACGCUGUUUCUGAUCAGCAGUCUUCCUUGUCCCCACUGUCAGUGUCCCAGGAUGGAGCUGACAUUUCUCUCACGCCCGAGCCUCGGUGUUCCCAUGACCGUGUCAUCUCUACCACCUAGCGCUGGGCCAUCAGGGGCAGAGCUUGCCUUGGCACACCCAGUGUCUCACAGGGGUUCACUUUGCUGGUGAGGCGCUUCUUGAGGAUUAAAAUGCUCCCUUCCUCCAGUGUUUGACUGGAAAACCCAACAAAGGUGUUCAUCCCCUCCUGAUUUCUCUGGACAGAUGAAACAUGUGGGUGGUUUCCAGGGCUAACCUAAGCCUCCAGAGGGUGAGCGGGAGGGGUGAGCAGUGAGCAGAUCAAGUGACCUAUGAAAGGGGACCCUCGCCGUCCACCCACCUCCAGACUGGCUGGGGAGGUUUUCUGUGGGAUGGGAGAAGAGUCCAGAUGGGGCCGAAAGGACGUACUGUCUUUGAUAUUCUACACCCUGCUCAUGCUCAGUUUCCCCUUUUGCCCUAUUUCAGCCUUGCACUAAGCAGAAGGCUGUGAGUUUUUUCUCUUUAAAAAAAAAUAAUCACAAACCUCUUUCAAUUGUGCUCAUUCUGCUACCACUGAAGAUGUGGGAAGAGGUGUAGGUGGCUUUUCUUUUUUAACAAUAGGUACAAGCUGUCAAUUCAUUCUA